RNAcentral lists this long non-coding RNA (246 nucleotides) under Marmota monax (woodchuck). Lineage: Eukaryota; Metazoa; Chordata; Mammalia; Rodentia; Sciuridae. The record is from RNAcentral.
CAGGAGAAACUCAUGGCCAUCAGUCCCUUGAAAUAACCUGCUGUUCUAGAAGGCCACACCGGCAAACCAGACAUGAGCAAUACUGCAGAGUCACUAGUCACACUCAGUAGGGUAAAUAUUGACAUCUUACCUGCAGAAAGUAGAGACUAAAUAAAUUACAAUGUAGUUCUGAAAAAUCAACCAAGACACGUAGAUGCCUCUAACAAGCAAAAAGGUAAAUGCAAUAUUUCUCAAGUAAAGAAAGAG